GCCCUUAAGGGCGAAUUCGCCCUUAGAGUUUGAUCCUGGCUCAGAACGAACGCUGGCGGCACGUUUUAAGCAUGCAAGUCGGACGGCAGCAGGGGUAACUCUGUGAGAGUGGCGAACGGGUGAGUAACACGUAGGUGAUUUAACCUUGGGGUGGGGAUAGCCUGUGGAAACACAGGGUAAUACCGAAUGAGCUUAUUUGGUUAUGACCGAAUAAGGAAAGGUGCUACGGCACCGCCCGGGGAGGAGCCUGCGGCUGAUUAGCUAGUUGGUGAGGUAAAGGCCCACCAAGGCGACGAUCAGUAGCCGGCCUGAGAGGGUGUACGGCCACACUGGGACUGAGACACGGCCCAGACUCCUACGGGAGGCAGCAGCUAAGAAUCUUCCGCAAUGGGCGCAAGCCUGACGGAGCGAUGCCGCGUGAUCGAUGAAGGUCGAGAGAUUGUAAAGAUCUUUUCCGUUUGAGGAAUAAGGGUCGGAGGGAAUGCCGAUCUGAUGACGUUAGAGCGGGAAUAAGCCCCGGCUAAUUACGUGCCAGCAGCCGCGGUAACACGUAAGGGGCGAGCGUUGUUCGGAAUUAUUGGGCGUAAAGGGCACGCAGGCGGCUUGAGAAGUCUGAUGUGAAAGACCUGGGCUUAACUCAGGGAGCGCGUUGGGAAACUGUCAAGCUAGAGUAUUAGAGGGGGAGUCGGAAUUCCUAGUGUAGGGGUGAAAUCUGUUGAUAUUAGGAAGAACACCGGUGGCGAAGGCGGACUCCUGGCUGAAUACUGACGCUGAGGUGCGAAAGCAUAGGGAGCAAACAGGAUUAGAUACCCUGGUAGUCUAUGCUGUAAACGAUGUGCACUUGGUGUUGGGUCGAUUAGAUUCAGUGCCGUAGCAAACGCGAUAAGUGCACCGCCUGGGGAGUAUGCCCGCAAGGGUGAAACUCAAAUGAAUUGACGGGGAAGGGC
This 947-nucleotide ribosomal RNA is filed under the name uncultured bacterium. RNAcentral describes it as "bacterial SSU rRNA". It matches the Rfam family "Bacterial small subunit ribosomal RNA", at positions 1 to 924 of the family's 1533-position model. The record is from RNAcentral.